This 281-nucleotide ribosomal RNA is filed under the name uncultured soil bacterium. RNAcentral describes it as "partial 16S ribosomal RNA". It matches the Rfam family "Bacterial small subunit ribosomal RNA", at positions 57 to 365 of the family's 1533-position model. The record is from RNAcentral.
GCAGUCGAGCGGGCGUAGCAAUACGUCAGCGGCAGACGGGUGAGUAACGCGUGGGAACAUACCUUUUGGUUCGGAACAACACAGGGAAACUUGUGCUAAUACCGGAUAAGCCCUUACGGGGAAAGAUUUAUCGCCGAAAGAUUGGCCCGCGUCUGAUUAGCUAGUUGGUGAGGUAACGGCUCACCAAGGCGACGAUCAGUAGCUGGUCUGAGAGGAUGAUCAGCCACAUUGGGACUGAGACACGGCCCAAACUCCUACGGGAGGCAGCAGUGGGGAAUAUU